GGGCACAUGGUCUAGUGGUAUGAUAUUCGCUUUGCAUUCUCUACAGUUCUGACUGUCUAGGUGUAAUCUGCGAAGGGUCCGGGGUUCAAUUCCCUGUGUGUCCA
Xylaria bambusicola is the source of this 104-nucleotide non-coding RNA. The record is from the annotation of a RefSeq genome assembly. NCBI's taxonomy places the organism in Eukaryota, Fungi, Ascomycota, Sordariomycetes, Xylariales, Xylariaceae.